CAAAUGGCAAAAAACGGAACCCUUAUGGAUUCGUCAUGUCUGUCUGUCUAUCCGCCCCACUUUUCUCCGAAACUAUAAGAACUAUACUGUUGAAACUUGGUAAGUAGAUGUAUCCUGUGAACCGCAUUAAGAUUUUCAUACAAAAAUAGAAAAAAAACAAUAAAUUUUUGGGGUUCCCCAUACUUCGAACUGAAACUCAAAAUAUUUUUUUUCAUCAAACCCAUACGUGUGGGGUAUCUAUGGAUAGGUCUUCAAAAAUGAUAUUGAGGUUUCUAAUAUCAUUUUUUUCUAAACUGAAUAGUUUGCGCGAGAGACACUUCCAAAG
Molecule: long non-coding RNA, 325 nt
Organism: Cydia amplana
Lineage: Eukaryota; Metazoa; Arthropoda; Insecta; Lepidoptera; Tortricidae
Exons: 2
Source: RefSeq, a predicted model, not a curated record